GUUAGCUGCAUUUCUUCGAAAGAACUGGACACGUUGACACUGAUUAGUGGAAUCUGAGCAUUAAGCCACCUAUUAUGGCUUGUUUUACGUGGCCCAAUUAAUGUGGUUAUUCGCGAGAGAUCUAUUGCGUGUACUAUUUAAUCAACUUUCCAACUCAAUCGAUCCGGUUCUAUAUGUAUAUAUAAAUCCUGCAUGUGCGGUUGCUUGAUUGAUCAUUGUAAGGCAGAAAGAAGAAGAAGAAGAAGAAGAAGAAGGAGAAUACUGAUUCGGAGGAGUUUCCAACUGCCCUCAAAGGCUUCCAAUAUUCCUGCAUUAGGAUGGGAUCGAUCCUGAAUGUGGGAUAUUGGACCUUUGAAGGUGAUUGAAGACUCUCUCCUCUUUAACUGUACCCACGUUAAUUCUAUCAGUUUAGAGAUCGACGGAGGGAAGUUCUAAGGUAGUGGCGGCAUGGGCCAUAGCAAGGGAGUCAGCUUUAACGGCAGAGUCGGUGUGGUGUACAGGUAGUCUCGUCAAUCCCUAUCCACUCUGAUGUCUAAGUAGAAUUUACUCUAUUAUUUUGUACUGUGCCAGGUGUUUUCUCGAGUCUUGUGUAUGUCGGCACAGGAGUUUGUAUUCUUUUAUUUAUCUUGUGACCGCUGUGUUAGCGGGGUACCCAUAGUGCAUGCAUGUCUUGAGCUUUGCUUCCGCUGUUCU
Diospyros lotus (date-plum) is the source of this 693-nucleotide long non-coding RNA. RefSeq lists it as uncharacterized. Lineage: Eukaryota; Viridiplantae; Streptophyta; Magnoliopsida; Ericales; Ebenaceae. The record is from RefSeq and is a predicted model, not a curated record. The transcript is spliced from 2 exons.